UCCUGGGUCUUACGCAAACACACGCUACAGUCUGGGAGGUCAACAUGGGAGACAUCUCAGAGAGGACCUUGCAGGUAGCCGUGGUUGUUUCCUUUGCUGUAGGCUUCCUUUCGGGCUGGCAGGCCAACAGAAUGAGGAGGAAAUUCCUGGACUGGAGGAAGAAGCGGCUUCAGGAUAAACUGUCUGAAACGCAGAAGAAGUUGGAUCUUGCUUGAAUGGUUGGCUGUUGGUUCAGAGAAGCUGGUUCAACCUGUUUGUCCUUCUUCAUGUUUGGUUUAACCACACCUGGCGAAGCAAGUCUGUUCUUGAUACUCUCCAAGCUCCC
Molecule: long non-coding RNA, 325 nt
Organism: Cyprinodon variegatus (sheepshead minnow)
Lineage: Eukaryota; Metazoa; Chordata; Actinopteri; Cyprinodontiformes; Cyprinodontidae
Exons: 2
Source: RefSeq, a predicted model, not a curated record